CCUACGGGAGGCAGCAGUAGGGAAUUUUCGUCCAUGGGCGCAAGCCUGAACGAGCAAUGCCGCGUGAACGAGGAAGGUCUUCGGAUCGUAAAGUUCUGUUGAAGGGGAAGAAGAGCGGAGAGAGGAAAUGAACUCCGAUUGAUAUUACCCUUCGAGGAAGUCACGGCUAACUCCGUGCCAGCAGCCGCGGUAAUACGGAGGAUGCGAGCGUUCUCCGGAUUUAUUGGGUUUACAGGGUGCGCAGGCGGCCUGUUACGUCAGCGGUAAAAGCCCGGGGCUCAACCCCGGCGAGCCGUUGAAACUGGCGGGCUGGAGUUGGAGAGAGGUACGCGGAAUGCGCGGUGUAGCGGUGAAAUGCUUAGAUAUCGCGCAGAACCCCGAUUGCGAAGGCAGCGUACCGGCUCCACACUGACGCUGAGGCACGAAAGCGUGGGUAUCGAACAGGAUUAGAUACCCUUGUAGUC
Molecule: ribosomal RNA, 464 nt
Filed under: uncultured bacterium
Lineage: Bacteria
Description: partial 16S ribosomal RNA
Rfam family: Bacterial small subunit ribosomal RNA
Source: RNAcentral